Molecule: long non-coding RNA, 238 nt
Filed under: Hordeum vulgare
Lineage: Eukaryota; Viridiplantae; Streptophyta; Magnoliopsida; Poales; Poaceae
Description: long non-coding RNA (HVUL_LNC016293)
Source: RNAcentral
AUGAUUUUUUCACUUGAUGGAUCCUGUGUAUGUAUCCCUUUGUUAGAGUCUGGAUGGUACUACUAGUCACAAACACUUGACACUUGUGUGAUUCUUCUGUCCAUGGAUGUACUGUGUACAACAAUUUGAUGGGAAUGUAAUUUGGUAUAUGGUUUUAAUUUCAUUUCAUGGAAUGUGAUUUGUAAUGACCCAGUAAAAUUCACAUCCAUAAAUUGUCCUGCUCAUGCACACGAAAAAC